GUUCUGAAUCUGGCUUCCGAAUGUAUGGAAGCACUGUCCUGGGGUAGCAUGCUCACUAGGAAUCCUUCUUUGCCUAACUACACCUGGACCCAGAAGAAACGUGCAUCGUCCAGGCUGCAACUGGGAGGGAUCCAAGACCCUGCUGCACUGGGCCAGUAUUGCUCCUUCUGGUUCUCAGAGGGUGCAGCCUCUAUUUAGGGUACCCGGUGGAACAGCUAAGGCCCUGUCCUCACUGCUUGACGCACACUGCUCAAUCCGGCACCAUCAUUUUGCCUUUCUAAGCUAUACAGCAAGUCAAAGCUGGGGAUGGGACCCUCACAUCCAUAGGCGUCUUUCUUUACCUCAUUGCCAGGGGAGAGAGCCGAAGGGAAAAUACUGAUGAUUCCCCAACAUAUAAAAGACCCCCUUUAAGCAGCAGUCAGCCCCAGAUACUGGAAGGUGAGGCUCUGUCCUGGGGUGGGGUGGGGUAGACCACUCCUGAGUGAGGUGCCUGAAAACCCUCUGUGUGAUGUAUCACCACCUUCUUGGGCUGCAGGACUUCUGAUGGUAACACUGAUUGAUAAUCAUUAGAGACCCGCGUGGGAAUAUUAUGCCUUCAUUGGAUUUGCUUUCAGCCCUCACUCAGAGCCAGGAAAUGACUUUUUAAAAAAUCACACCAUUGUGUUACAGUUGGUCAGCUGCCCAUUCCUGAAGUGCCCUCCUUUGGGAUUUUGUAGCUUUUUUCCCUAGUGAGUUUUUAUAAUUCAAAACAAACAAUGGGGGUUAUUUAUUAGUAGUGACUUUAUGGAGAAGGAAGUUGAGGCAGCUGUGCAUAUGGCUGGUAGGUGUCAGGGUGGUUUUCAGUAUAUUUUGGUUUUGUGUCCAGCUGGAUGCCAGCUGGAUUAUGAGACAAUAAAAAAAAUCAGAGCCUUCUAUUCAGAAAACCCAUUCAUCUGAUCAUACUGGACACACUUAUAAUUCUCUCAGGUGACAUCAGAGGGGUCACACAGACUCAGGGAGAGAACGCUCUAUAACUGUGUGUGCCAAGAGAACUUUCUGUGUUCUGAUGGAAGUGUUUUAUCUCUGCUCUGUCCAGUCCAGUAGCCGCUGGCCCCAUGUGACUACUGAGCACUCAAAAUGUGGCUAGUGUGACUGAGGAACUGAAUUUUAAUUUUGUUUAAUUUUUUUUAAUCGAAAUUUCAAUAGGCACAUGUGGCCGGUAGGUAGUGUGUUAGGCAGCACAGAUUUAUAAAGCACUGCAUUCCUGGUUUUCAAACUGUUUGACUGUAAUUUCUUGUGAGAAGCACAUUUCAUAUUGCACUGCAGUACAAGCAACUCCCCCCAACCCUCCCACAGCCCCUGUCACCAGAAUUUCACCAAACACUAUUUGGCCUUGCUAUAGGCUGUGCACAGUGGUAUUUUCUGCUUUAUUCUCUUCUAUUUCUUUCUUUUCUUUUUUUGCUUUUUAGGUCCUCACCCAUGGUAUGUGGAAGUUCCCAGGCUAGGGGUCAAAUUGGAGCUGCAGCUGCCAGCCUACAUCACAGCUGCUGCCACGCCAGAUCCGAGCUGCCUCUGCGACCUACAUCGCAGCUCAUGGCAAUACCAGGGAUUGAACCUGCAGCCUCAUCGUUACUAGUCAGAUUUGUUUCUGCCGUGCCACAGCGGGAACCCACUGCCAUUUCCUUUUUAAAGGAGCUGGUAUGACUUGAUAAAUUGAUUGUAUGACUCACAAGCGGGUGGUGAACCUCACUGUGAAGAACAUUGCCUUUCGUUAUCUGCCCCCCCACCUCUAGCCACUUCCUCUCUCAUCCGCUGUCUCUGCACUGGCCUCCUUGUAGGGCCUUUGCAUUUGCUGUUCCCUCUGCCUAGUAUGCUUUUCCCUACAUCAUCUCUUGACCGCAUUUCUCACAUCCUCAGAUUUCAGCUCAAAUGCUCCUGGGAGGUUUCCUCUUGUAACUGCUCUCCUCUGGGAAGCUCCCCCUCCCGCUCCCCUCCGCGUGCUUUUCUCUGUCGCAGUGUUCAUCACCUGACAUAGGCAUCAUUUGUUUAUCGUCCACUUCCCCAGCUAGAAUAUCAGCUCCACAAAGGCAGGAACUGUAUUGUUUGCUGGUAUGUCUGCGCAUCCAGAAAAGUCUUCCAAGGAGUUCCUGUCGUGGUGCAGUGGUUAGUGAAUCUGACUAGGAACCAUGAGGUUGCGGGUUCCAUCCUUGGCCUUGCUCAGUGGUUGCUGGCCUACACCACAGCCGCAGCAAUGCAGGAUCUGAGCCUUAUCUGGGACCUACACCACAGCUCACAGCAAUGCCAGAUCCUUAACCCACUGAGUGAGGCCAGGGAUCGAACCUGCGUCCUCAUGGAUACUAGUCAGGUUUGUAACCUGCUGAGCCACAACAGGAACUCCCUAAUUUUAUUUAAUUUUAUUUUUUUGGCUGUGCCCUUGGCAUGCAGAAGUUCCAGGACCAAGGAUUCAAAUCUGUGUCGUAGCAGUGACAAUGCCAGGUCCUUACCCCACUGAGUCACUAGGGAACUCCAAGAUUUUGUAUUUUUCAAAAGUACAAGCCAGCCCUUAGUAGGGCUGCUGAGAAAUGGGGACAGCAUCACAUGGAGGUCUAGGAAAAUAAUGGCAAACAGAGUUUUACACGGCAACAGUGGGGCCUGGCAGUGUACUCUGUCUUAGCUUAUGUGUGGACUCUGAAACUCUGAGACUAGAAUUCAGGUCUUAUCUUCCAUGCCAGAAGCCCUCCCUGCAUCUUUUUUAUCUUUUUUUAUGGUUUUCUCUUUUCCUCUCAACAUGGAAUUAAACAUGGCCAACCUAAAAAAAAAAAAAAAAAAAA
RNAcentral lists this long non-coding RNA (2810 nucleotides) under Sus scrofa (pig). RNAcentral's name for it is "lncRNA (ENSSSCG00065026462.1)". Lineage: Eukaryota; Metazoa; Chordata; Mammalia; Artiodactyla; Suidae. The record is from RNAcentral.